GUGUCUCCACACAGUCUAUAUGUCGAUCAGCAUAAUGACGGAAACGAGACCAGAAUCCGCCGAGCAACAACACCACGAAGUGCUCCAGAGGCCGUCAGAUGAGCCGUGUAGUGGUUGCAAACAGUUACAGAAGGAUGUUGCAAAGGUAAUUUAGAGCUCAAAAAACCAUUAACAAUUAAAAAAUUUCCAGACAAUCAGCAUGGUUAUGGAGCGAAUGGACAAACUUCAGUAUCGGCUCGACGAGCUGCUCAAAGAGAACAAUGAGCUGAAAAGCUCAUCGGUCUCAUCGGGAAAAGCCUCACCAUCACCGGCAGAGUCGAGGAGCUCUCCGAAGCUUGUCGAGACAGUAGUCGCUCCAGUAUCAGGAGCCCGGAAGCGGAAGCCCAAGGAGCGGAGCCCACCGGCAGCUGCGAGUCCACUUCCAGACUUUUCGAAUUUGAUGAACGGAUUCAUGUUUGAUCCUCUGAAUAUGUCAAAUCCAAAUGGAAUGAUGCAAUUAUUAUCAAUGGUUCAACAGCAGCAGCAGCAGCAACAACACCACCAGCACAUUGAGAAUCAACAAUCCGUGAGCCCACCACAAUCGAAAUCCGUGAAAAUUGAAGAUCCAAUGGAUCAGGAUGUGAAACAGGAAGAGUCGGAGCGAUCCGAUAUCCCGACGGCUACAGAGGCGCAGAACCUUUUGGAUGCACUAACAGCACAGUUUAGCAGCAACGGACAGGCGGUAAGUGUUGAGGAAGGGCCAAAGGGGGGGGGGGGGGGGGGGCGAACAAAGGAAAGAUAUAUCACCCCGGGAGGCGGCGUUCGCUUUUGAAAAUCUACCGCUGCGCGAUUUUUUUGCACUUAGGAUUUCUAGGAUCCUGAUUGGAUUUAGGAUCUUUCGAGAACUUUGGGGAGAAGUUCCCGAAGCUCUAUGAUCGGAGUUCGCAGGGUUCCUUGAGGAGCCUACUUCUGGGGAAACCCUUGUGAAGGUCCGGAAGCUCCCAAAGUUGCUCAGGAUCAUUGCGCACCUUGACAAGCUUUAACUGCUGCCCUGACUUCCAGCGGACUUCCAGCGAGCCCUUGAAAGUCGCCAGGAUCCAUUGAAACCUCCCAGAGCUCCUUAGCUGCUUUAGGGUUUUUCAGGAUCUUUGAGGAGCUUCUAAGAUCCACCCUGAGUUCUUUAGGAUCUCUGCGAUCUUUCAGCAGCUCCUUCAAUCAAUCAAUAAAUACAUUCACUCCUAAUCACAUAUCAGUUCUUCCAGACCUCCACCACAUCUCCACCAUCAUCAUCAUCCCAAGUACAAGCGGUCAUCGAAGCAGUCGCCACACCAUCAUCCCAAAGCCAAGACAGUUCAAUGUUUGAGAAAACCGAGACGAGUGGUGAUCCGAACGCGGCGCGAUGCUCCAACUGCCGAACCGACAAGACAACCGCGUGGCGACGUGACGCCGAGGGGAAGCUUGUCUGCAAUCCGUGUGGGCUCUACUAUCGAUUGCACAAG
This 1478-nucleotide small RNA is filed under the name Caenorhabditis elegans. RNAcentral describes it as "Unclassified non-coding RNA F55A8.7". The record is from RNAcentral. Lineage: Eukaryota; Metazoa; Nematoda; Chromadorea; Rhabditida; Rhabditidae.